AUGCGUGUUCAGGGGCACAAGAGAGAAGCGCGGGACCCCGAGGGGGGCCCUCGGGCUGGAGGCGGCGUGGGCGGCCAGGAAGGACAACUUAGGGCGGGAGGGGCCCUCCUCGGGGGCACCUGUCGGGAAGUCUGGGGGUGGCGGCGACCCGGGGUGAGGGAGGCGGUGGGCGGGGGCGGGGGCGGGGGCGGGGGGGCUGCCGGCCGCUCCCGCUGCCACCUCCGGCCCAGCUCGACGGCAGGGCAGGUCCCCGGCCGGGGUCGCUGGGGCUCGGGCGGAUGCUCGCAGCCCGCGGGUCGUGCAGGGGCCGCGGGGGCCCCGGGAAGCGCCGCCGCCCACGUGGCCGCCGCUCGGGCCCCGCCGCCCCCCGCGGGCGCCCCGGGUCAGGGCGUGCGGGCCGCGGGGGGGGGCGCCGGGGCGGGCGGGGGCGGGCGGGGGCGGGGCCCGCGGGCUCCUACCUGGGCCGCCCCGCCCCGCCCGCCACGUGACCGCGCCCCGCCCCGCGCGCCUGCGCCCUGCCGGCGCCCCAUUGUUGGCCGCGCGCGCGUCACGGGGCGGGGCGGGGCGCGGAGGAGGGCGGCGGGCGGCGCGCGGGAGGGAAGCAGCGUCCGCGCCGCCGCCGCCGCCGCCGCCGCCGCCGCCGAGCCCGCCGCCGAGCAGCGAGAGGAGUCGCGCCGCCGCCGCCGCCGCCGCCGCCGCCGCCGCCGCCGCCGCCGCCGCCGCCCGCGGCCCGAGCAGCCCCCCGCCGCCCGCCCCGCCGCCCGCCCCGCCGCUGGAUGCCGGCGGCCGGCGGCCCAGCUCUCAGAGGCGGAGCGCGGCGGCGCGGGCGGCGGCGGCGGCGGCGCGGGCGGCCGGCGGGCGAGAGGCGGGGGCGCGGGCCCGAGCGCUAGCGCCGCCAUGCCCGGCUCCACCGGCCAGCCCGACGGCGGCGGCGGCGACCCCAGCCCGCGCCCCCCGCCGCCGCCGCCGCCCGCGGGCCCCGAGGAGGCCGCGCCCGCCGCCCGCCCCGCCGCGCUGCGCCUGGCGCUGGAGCAGCUCUCGGGGCUGGGGCUGGGGCUGCGCGGCGCGGGCGGCGCGGGCGGCGCGGGCGGCGCGGACGACGAGGGCGCGGGCGGCGGGGACGGCGCGGGCGGCGCGGACGGGGCGGCGGAGCCCGCGCCCCCCGACGGCCGCGAGCCGGCGGCGCCCGCGGGGCCCGAGGCCGCGGCUCCCGGCCCGCUGGCGCUGCUGGACCCGGGCGGGAGCCCGCCGCCGCCGCCGCCGCCCCCCCUCCCGGCCGCCGCCCGACGUGUUCGCCGGCUUCGCGCCCCACCCCGCGGCCCUGGGCGC
This 1329-nucleotide long non-coding RNA is filed under the name Canis lupus familiaris (dog). Its description in RNAcentral is "lncRNA (ENSCAFG00030013077.1)". The record is from RNAcentral. Lineage: Eukaryota; Metazoa; Chordata; Mammalia; Carnivora; Canidae.